CUGUAGUCAAUUUAAACAUAAGGGGAAAGAGCCACCAGACCAAAGGUCAGAUUUAGAGGAGACAACUAAGGAAGAAAUGAAGCUGGAAAACAUUGUAGCUACAAAAUAAGCAAAGAAUCCAGGGGCAUCCAAGUGGCACAGUGGAUUAAAGUGCUAGUCUUGGAAGUUCAAAUAUGGCAUCAGACACAUCCUAGCUGUGUGACCCUGGCAAGUCACUUCACCUCGUUUGCCUCGACCUUGUCUUUCCUUAGAAUUAUUACUAAUUCAGGAGGUAAGGAUUUAAAAAAAUUUAAAAAGAAUCUAGAAUCCAGGAGAAUAGACAGUCAAGAAACAGCCAACUGGACUAGGAUCUGGGGGAAAGGACCAGGAAACCAAGAAAAGCAAGUAGGCUGGACCUGGAGACCAGAAGCCAGAACUUCAGUUGACUUUUGUGCUCAACAGUUCUGGAGAUCCCUAAGCCCAUCAGCAGAGUCUCCAUAGCACCAGAGGCCUUCCAAGUCCAGCCAUUCGUUAGUCCACUUUGCCAGAUGACACCAAAGGAGCCCUCAGUGGCCAACUACUUCUAGAGGAGCAAAUUAAACAUGCACAUGCGUACUCGUACAGGCGUGCAGACCCCCAUAAACACACCGCACAACAAAUUAACAGCCCAAGCUUGUCUUUUUCAUUGUGUUUUUAUUAUGAUGCUUCUCAAUGAUGUUUUAAAAUGAAUUUUGAAUAGUCCCCUUAAUUUGGUUCAUUCUGCAUUGUAACGCAACUGGGAGGGCCCCGCAGGAAUUGCUGCUAGGAAUGCAAUAUUAUGUGAGCAUGGAUUCUGCUUGUUUUCCU
Molecule: long non-coding RNA, 825 nt
Filed under: Monodelphis domestica (gray short-tailed opossum)
Lineage: Eukaryota; Metazoa; Chordata; Mammalia; Didelphimorphia; Didelphidae
Description: lncRNA (ENSMODG00000049147.1)
Source: RNAcentral